RNAcentral lists this ribosomal RNA (429 nucleotides) under Bacteroidota bacterium. Its description in RNAcentral is "Bacteroidetes bacterium partial 16S ribosomal RNA". It matches the Rfam family "Bacterial small subunit ribosomal RNA", at positions 355 to 776 of the family's 1533-position model. Lineage: Bacteria; Pseudomonadati; Bacteroidota. The record is from RNAcentral.
UAGGGAAUCUUCCGCAAUGGACGCAAGUCUGACGGAGCAACGCCGCGUGAGUGAAGAAGGAUUUCGGUUCGUAAAACUCUGUUGUUAGAGAAGAACAGCGCAUAGAGUAACUGUUAUGCGUGUGACGGUAUCUAACCAGAAAGCCACGGCUAACUACGUGCCAGCAGCCGCGGUAAUACGUAGGUGGCAAGCGUUGUCCGGAUUUAUUGGGCGUAAAGCGAGCGCAGGCGGUCAAUUAAGUCUGAUGUGAAAGCCCCCGGCUCAACCGGGGAGGGUCAUUGGAGACUGGUUGACUUGAGUGCAGAAGAGGAGAGUGGAAUUCCAUGUGUAGCGGUGAAAUGCGUAGAUAUAUGGAAGAACACCAGUGGCGAAGGCGACUCUCUGGUCUGUAACUGACGAUGAGGCUCGAAAGCGUGGGUAGCAAACAGG